This 74-nucleotide transfer RNA is filed under the name Firmicutes bacterium CAG:475. It matches the Rfam family "tRNA". From Rfam's summary of the family: Transfer RNA (tRNA) molecules are approximately 80 nucleotides in length. The record is from Rfam by way of RNAcentral. Lineage: Bacteria; Bacillati; Bacillota.
CGGGGUAUGGCGCAGUUUGGUAGCGCGCUUGACUGGGGGUCAAGAGGCCAUGGGUUCAAGUCCCGUUACUCCGA